GACGAACGCUGGCGGCGUGCUUAACACAUGCAAGUCGUACGGUAAGGCCCUUUCGGGGGUACACGAGUGGCGAACGGGUGAGUAACACGUGAGUAACCUGCCCACAACUUUGGGAUAACGCUAGGAAACUGGUGCUAAUACUGGAUAUGUGCUCCUGCUGCAUGGUGGGGGUUGGAAAGCUCCGGCGGUUGUGGAUGGACUCGCGGCCUAUCAGCUUGUUGGUGGGGUAGUAGCCUACCAAGGCGGCGACGGGUAGCCGGCCUGAGAGGGUGACCGGCCACAUUGGGACUGAGAUACGGCCCAGACUCCUACGGGAGGCAGCAGUGGGGAAUAUUGCACAAUGGGCGCAAGCCUGAUGCAGCAACGCCGCGUGCGGGAUGACGGCCUUCGGGUUGUAAACCGCUUGCAGCAGGGACGAAGCUUUUUGUGACGGUACCUGCAGAAGAAGCACCGGCUAACUACGUG
Molecule: ribosomal RNA, 465 nt
Filed under: uncultured bacterium
Lineage: Bacteria
Description: partial 16S ribosomal RNA
Rfam family: Bacterial small subunit ribosomal RNA
Source: RNAcentral